UGGGGAAUAUUGCACAAUGGGCGAAAGCCAUGAUGCAGCGACGCCGCGUGAGCGAUGAAGCCUUCGGGUGUGAAGCUCUUUCGGCUGGAACGAUAAUGACGGUACCAGCAGAAGAAGCUGCGGCUAACUACGUGCCAGCAGCCGCGGUAAUACGUAGGCAGCGAGCGUUGUUCGGAGUUACUGGGCGUAAAGAGUGCGUAGGCGGUGCGGCAAGUCUGGUGUGAAAUCUCCCGGCUUAACUGGGAGGGUGCGCUAGAAACUGCCGUGCUAGAGUGUGGGGAGAGGUAAGCGGAAUUCCUGGUGUAGCGGUGAAAUGCGUAGAUAUCAGGAGGAACACCUGCGGUGUAGACAGCUUACUGGACCAUACUGACGCUGAGGCACGAAAAGCGUGGGUAGCAAAACA
RNAcentral lists this ribosomal RNA (403 nucleotides) under uncultured bacterium. RNAcentral describes it as "bacterial SSU rRNA". It matches the Rfam family "Bacterial small subunit ribosomal RNA", at positions 355 to 775 of the family's 1533-position model. The record is from RNAcentral.